UACAGAGGGGGCAAGCGUUGUUCGGAAUUACUGGGCGUAAAGGGCGCGUAGGCGGCCGCCUAAGUCAGACGUGAAAUCCCUCGGCUCAACCGGGGAACUGCGUCGGAUACUGGAUGGCUUGAAUUCGGGAGAGGGAUGCAGAAUUCCAGGUGUAGCGGUGAAAUGCGUAGAUAUCUGGAGGAAUACCGGUGGCGAAGGCGGCAUCCUGGACCGACAUUGACGCUGAUGAGCGAAAGCUAGGGGAGCAAACGGG
Molecule: ribosomal RNA, 253 nt
Filed under: uncultured bacterium
Lineage: Bacteria
Description: partial 16S ribosomal RNA
Rfam family: Bacterial small subunit ribosomal RNA
Source: RNAcentral